Long non-coding RNA from Myotis davidii, 277 nucleotides. RefSeq lists it as uncharacterized. The record is from RefSeq and is a predicted model, not a curated record. The transcript has 3 exons. NCBI's taxonomy places the organism in Eukaryota, Metazoa, Chordata, Mammalia, Chiroptera, Vespertilionidae.
CAAAGGUCCCCAGACGCUGUCCAAAGAAGACAACGCAGCGGUCCCCCGACGCUGCCCAAUAGAAGGGGACCCAGGGGUCCCCCGAUGCUGUUCAAGAGAAGGUGAUCCAGAGCUUCCCCAAUGCUACCCAGAGCCCAGUUCCCAGGGAAUGACUGCAUUUUGAUGCCUUGGAGUGCAAACCAGGCAAGUUGCAAAUGAAAACCCCUCUCUGGAGCCCUAUUCUAGGUCCUGCUUCUGCAGCAGAAGCUGGGGAAAGUAAAGGGUGGUGUGGGUGGUU